AUGAAGGAGGCGGCUGUGGGCGGCGGCGGGGACGGGGCCGGGGGGUUCGUGCGGGCCGACCAGAUCGACCUCAAGAGCCUCGACGAGCAGCUCGACCGCCACCUCGCGCGCGCAUGGACCAUGGACAAGCCCAAGCGCGGCGCCGGCGACGGCCAGGAGCGCAGGCGGGAGGACUGGGAGGCCGACCCCGCCAGGCUCGUCGUCCGGGGCGUCAUCGCCCGCGGCACCUUCGGCACCGUCCACCGCGGCGUCUACGACGGCCUCGACGUCGCAGUGAAACUGCUUGAUUGGGGGGAGGAUGGUCAUAGGUCAGAGCAAGAAAUAACAUCAAUAAGAGCAGCUUUUUCACAAGAAGUCUCCGUCUGGCAUAAGCUUGAUCAUCCAAAUGUAACCAAGUUUAUAGGGGCUAUAAUGGGUGCUGGGGAUCUGAAUAUUCAGACAGAAGAUGGAAACAUCGGCAUGCCAAGUAAUGUUUGCUGUGUCAUUGUGGAGUACCUUGCUGGAGGUGCACUGAAAACAUUUCUGAUAAAGAACAGGAGAAGGAAGCUGGCUUUCAAAGUUGUGGUCCAGAUAGCUCUCGACCUUGCCAGGGGAUUAAGCUAUCUUCACUCGAAGAAAAUUGUGCAUCGUGAUGUGAAGACCGAAAACAUGCUUCUUGACAAAACAAGAACUGUAAAAAUCGCGGACUUUGGUGUUGCUCGCCAUGAGGCUGCAAACCCCAGCGACAUGACAGGCGAAACAGGCACCCUUGGUUACAUGGCACCUGAGGUUCUCAACGGCAACGCUUACAACAGGAAGUGUGACGUCUACAGCUUCGGGAUCUGCCUUUGGGAGGUGUACUGCUGCGACAUGCCGUACGCGGACCUGAGCUUCUCGGAGGUCACGUCCGCUGUUGUUCGUCAGAACCUGAGGCCGGAGAUCCCGCGGUGCUGCCCGAGCGCGUUUGCGAACGUGAUGAAGCGGUGCUGGGACGCGAACCCCGACAAGCGUCCGGAGAUGGCGGAGGUGGUGACGAUGCUGGAGGCGAUCGACACGUCCAAGGGCGGGGGCAUGAUCCCCGUGGACCAGGCGCGCGGCAUCGGGUGCCUCUCCUGCCUCAGGCCGCGCAGGGGCCCCUGA
This 1119-nucleotide ribosomal RNA is filed under the name Triticum aestivum (bread wheat). Its description in RNAcentral is "partial small subunit ribosomal RNA". Lineage: Eukaryota; Viridiplantae; Streptophyta; Magnoliopsida; Poales; Poaceae. The record is from RNAcentral.